RNAcentral lists this non-coding RNA (46 nucleotides) under Echinostoma caproni. The record is from RNAcentral. Lineage: Eukaryota; Metazoa; Platyhelminthes; Trematoda; Plagiorchiida; Echinostomatidae.
GCACCACUGACGAGUCCCAAGACAGGACGAAACAGCUGUCCAAUGC